RNAcentral lists this transfer RNA (72 nucleotides) under Anaerolineae bacterium. Its description in RNAcentral is "tRNA-Asn". It matches the Rfam family "tRNA". From Rfam's summary of the family: Transfer RNA (tRNA) molecules are approximately 80 nucleotides in length. Their secondary structure includes four short double-helical elements and three loops (D, anti-codon, and T loops). The record is from RNAcentral. Lineage: Bacteria; Bacillati; Chloroflexota; Anaerolineae.
UCCACAGUAGCUCAAUGGCAGAGCAAUCGGCUGUUAACCGAUGGGUUCUAGGUUCGAGUCCUAGCUGUGGAG